Molecule: small RNA, 2969 nt
Filed under: Pongo abelii (Sumatran orangutan)
Lineage: Eukaryota; Metazoa; Chordata; Mammalia; Primates; Hominidae
Description: processed transcript
Source: RNAcentral
GUGUGGCUGGCGGUGGCGACAACCGAGGAGGAGGAGCGAGACGCCGUGGAGCACGGCGACCGGCUGAGCGUCAUGGAGGGCUCAGGGGAGCAGCCGGGCCCACAACCACAGCAUCCCGGAGACCACCGCAUCCGCGAUGGCGACUUCGUGGUGCUGAAACGUGAAGAUGUGUUUAAAGCAGUACAAGUCCAGCGGAGAAAAAAAGUAACUUUCGAAAAACAGUGGUUCUAUCUGGAUAACGUCAUUGGCCAUAGUUAUGGAACCACAUUUGAAGUGACCAGUGGAGGAAGUCUACAGCCCAAGAAGAAGAGAGAAGAGCCUACUGCAGAGACUAAAGAAGCGGGCACUGAUAAUCGAAAUAUAGUUGAUGAUGGGAAAUCUCAGAAACUUACUCAAGAUGACAUAAAAGCUUUGAAGGACAAGGGCAUUAAAGGAGAGGAAAUAGUUCAGCAGUUAAUUGAAAAUAGUACAACAUUCCGAGACAAGACAGAAUUUGCCCAAGAUAAAUAUAUUAAAAAGAAGAAAAAAAAAUAUGAAGCCAUCAUUACUGUUGUGAAGCCAUCCACCCGUAUUCUUUCAAUUAUGUAUUAUGCAAGAGAACCUGGAAAAAUUAACCACAUGAGAUACGAUACGCUAGCCCAGAUGUUGACAUUGGGAAAUAUCCGUGCUGGCAACAAAAUGAUUGUGAUGGAAACGUGUGCAGGCUUGGUGCUGGGUGCAAUGAUGGAACGAAUGGGAGGUUUUGGAUCCAUUAUUCAGCUAUACCCUGGAGGUGGACCUGUUCGGGCAGCAACAGCAUGUUUUGGAUUUCCCAAAUCUUUUCUCAGUGGUCUUUAUGAAUUCCCCCUCAACAAAGUGGACAGUCUUCUACGUGGAACAUUUUCUGCCGAGAUGUUAUCUUCAGAGCCAAAAGACAGUGCUUUGGUUGAAGAAAGUAAUGGCACACUGGAGGAAAAACAGGCUUCUGAACAAGAGAAUGAAGACAGCAUGGCAGAGGCCCCAGAGAGCAACCACCCAGAAGACCAGGAAACAAUGGAAACAAUUUCUCAAGAUCCAGAACAUAAGGGGCCUAAAGAGAGAGGAAGCAAAAAAGAUUAUAUUCAGGAAAAACAGAGGAAACAAGAAGAGCAGAGGAAAAGACAUUUAGAGGCUGCUGCUCUGCUGAGUGAAAGAAAUGCAGAUGGGUGCGUUGAUGGAAGAAGGCAGGAGACUCCUCGGUGCAUGUGGGCUCUGCUUCAGACAGAUUGGCAUUCUCUUUCUCCUUGUCUACUUUGAUUCUAGUGGGACCCGAGAUGAGGAUUUUGUCUUGCGGGUUUUUUAAAGAAAGGAGGCUGAGGCUGGCAGGGGUGGGGAAUUGAUGAUGCUGGUUUCAGGAUUUCAGAAGAAAUUGAAUCUUCUCCAUCACUGCAUCAAGAUGGGCCUUGUGGUCCCACUGGAUGCAGGGGAUGGGGCACUCAACUGCUGCGAUACAGGCUAUAACAGAUAUCCACAAAGCAGCUUGUGCAGUAUUGGAUUUGUUUCCGGGUGAUUUUUUUAAAAAAAUCAAGAAUGUCAUUAGAUGCCACUUAGAGUUGCCAAGUACCACAAGAGCUUCUAACCUAGUUCGCGUUUCCUAGAAAUAGCUCAUGAUUGUAUUCUGUUUUGGAUUUCUAGAAUGUUAUAUUUAAAUCUCUUCUCUGUGUGAGUCACGCAAAUUAAAUACAUGAUCAUUUUAAAUGCAUUUUAAAACCUGUGCUCCACUUUGGGGGAGUAGAGAAAUAAUUUGUCUGGCAUUUUCCUUACAGUUUAAUUGUAGCUAGUCGUUUCCACCCCACUCCCCUGCUGCUGUCUUUGCUGGAUUUUGUGGCCCCUUCAAGGCCGUUUGUGGUCUACUGUCAGUACAAAGAGGUAAUACUGGAAUGGAAUGGGCAGGAAUUCUUACAUCUGAAUGUUGAUUCUUCAACUGCAUCCCAGGAAGUAGUUCUUAACAGAAUUCUGUUUUUGCCUGCAGCCUCUGUUGGAAUGCUACACAAAACUGCGGGAGAGGGGAGGGGUCAUCAACCUCAGGCUGUCUGAAACCUGGCUCAGAAAUUAUCAGGUUUUGCCAGAUCGAAGUCAUCCUAAACUGCUGAUGAGUGGAGGUGGGGGUUACCUUCUCUCCGGCUUCACCGUUGCCGUGGACAACCUUAAAGCAGACAGCAGCCUCAAAUCUAAUGCAAGCACUUUAGAAUCACACGAGACUGAGGAGCCUGCAGCUAAAAAACGGAAAUGCCCAGAGUCUGACUCUUAACCCUUUGAGAAUUGCUCUGAAUUUUGUUCUCAGGCAUUACACAGUUAGUAAUUAAAUUUUAAAUGCCAUUACUACUUGUUUUUUCAUAUCCCAAGAAUAAGAACAUGUCUAUGUACCUGUUUCUAGGAAGGAGGAGUACAUGCCUUUUGUCUGUUUCUGACACAGAUGCGCUUGGUCUGUCAAAACUGCAACCAUGGGGUAUGUAGUAUGACCAACUGCAUUUAACAAAACUCCUCUAAGUACUUCUAAAUAUUCUGUGCAAAUAUCUUGAGAACUUCAACAUCCUAAAAUGUGUUUCUACAAGACUUUAUAUGUUAAGCUAAGUGGAAUAAUACAACGUAACUAAAACAUGGCGGGUACCGAAAGGAGGGUAAUUCAUGGAAGAAAUUUCCUCUGUUCAUUCCAUUCUCUUCAACCUAAGCAAUAUGGAUGUGUGAGUGUGUGAUUUAUUAUGGUACCAAAAAUGUCCACCCUCUUUCCUGCAGUGGAAUAAGCUUUUUUGAAAUGCUAAGGUUUUAUUUUAAUAGUUGACAACCUGGGAAAGUUCUGAGUAUUUAUUUUACUGCUCUUUUUUGUGCAUAGAAAGGUUUAGUAGGGUACUUUUUUGCAUUAAUUUGCCAAUACUCUUAUUCUUUGUUCUAAAUAAAGUGACUAGAAUUUUUGUGUACUAUUCAAUUAAAGGAAACAAAUGUCUUUUCCC